GUCUCGAAACAAUGAUGAGAUAAUUUCCAAGCACAUAUCUGAGGUUUCCAUGUGGAAUUUAAAUACUGAGUUUCCUUGGG
This is a small nucleolar RNA of Ictidomys tridecemlineatus (thirteen-lined ground squirrel), 80 nucleotides long. The record is from Ensembl. Lineage: Eukaryota; Metazoa; Chordata; Mammalia; Rodentia; Sciuridae.